CCUUUUUUCCAGUAGAGGCGUGGAUGAAGUGACAGAAAAUCAAAACCUUCGUGUGUAUUUUUGUCCAAAAACUUGGAAAAUUCCAACCAAAACAAAGCAGCACUUUACCCAAGAGCCAUUUUUGUCAAUGAAGCGCUCUGUGAAAAACCAAACUAAAACCAGCCCUGGUCCACAAAGCUAAACUGGCUGCACCGCAUCCACAAAGUGCUGUGGGAGAAGCUACCCCAGCCCUCGCCCACCACCCCUAUACCCGGGGCUGUUGUCCUCUGCUGAGAGACCCCACCACAGGCUCUGCUGGCCUCCUCCCAGGUAUCUGGGUGGUAGCUCCACUUCUUCCAUGUCUUCAAGGCUGGAGAAAGUCGUAGUUGCGGCUAAUGCAGUGCCCAAGCACAGUGAGCUAAGUGGUGCUGUGCUCGGGAGGAUGAUCCAAGCAGGCAGAUGUUCCCGGGAAGUGAAGGGUGUGGAAAGAGAAUUUCUGCAGCACGUCAGUGGAAAAAGGAUUAAAAUCAAAAGAAGAAAAUGAAGGCCAAGUGUCUUAAGCAAUGGUGCUUCCUGCAGAGCCAAACAGUGAGGGCAACCACCCCUGGGAAUUGAUGAUGUAGAAGUGCUCUCCUACCGGAGGAGGAAGCAAGGAAGUGGGAGGAAGCAAGUCAGCAAGGAAGGCCAAUGCUUCUGAGUAGCUUGACCCACAUCCCAUUGAAGUCUGCACUUUAUUAUUAGAAUCAUUAUUAUUUGCAUUGUGGUAGCAUCAAGUGGCCCCAACUGGAAGAGAGCCUCAUUGUACUAGGCACUAAACAAACACAGAAUAAGCGACACUCCCUUCCCCAUGGGAUUUGCUGGCAAAGAAGACACACAGAGGGCUGCAGAGGACAGGAAAUUAUCAUUUACUGGCAUUCACUGAGGGCUUAUUUUGGUACUGAAGUGUCAAAAUCAAGCAUUCAAAAGGUGAUGAAGUCGAGUGCUCAAAAGGUUGCCACAGCUUCCAGCUCCUCUCCAUGUGUAGUGCACAAGGCCAUUGGACCCACACUGCCUGCAGCACCCAUGAGCUGCAGUGGCAAAGCCAGCUCUGAUGAGUGCUGGGCUAAUACCUGCUCUGCCAGAUGAGGCCACCACGGACCACAGCUCUGGUUUCUUCUGCACCGUUCCUACCUCUCACAAGUUUGCUGCAAACCUUGCACAGGUGAUGCUUCUUAAAGCCCUUAACUCCCAUAUAAUUGCAUCAGAACCUCAGCCUUGGUUUCCUUUCAUCUCAUCCUUUAUGUGGGCCAAGACAAGGGCCUGGGCCUUCUUUCAGUGUGGAGGGAGCGAUGGUAAAGUCUGGCAGCCCACGUGUGUGCAGCAGGAAAGAGAAACUGGAAAUUUACCUGGAUGCCUCCCUGAGUCAGCCAAACCCGAAGCAUCUCCACAACACACCUAGAUCUGAACCCAUUGA
Pezoporus flaviventris is the source of this 1432-nucleotide long non-coding RNA. RefSeq lists it as uncharacterized. The transcript is spliced from 5 exons. Lineage: Eukaryota; Metazoa; Chordata; Aves; Psittaciformes; Psittacidae. The record is from RefSeq and is a predicted model, not a curated record.